Molecule: ribosomal RNA, 270 nt
Filed under: uncultured bacterium
Lineage: Bacteria
Description: partial 16S ribosomal RNA
Rfam family: Bacterial small subunit ribosomal RNA
Source: RNAcentral
AGUGAACGCUGGCGGCGUGCCUAACACAUGCAAGUCGUGCGCGAAAGGGUAGCAAUACCUGAGUAAAGCGGCGAACGGGUGAGUAACACGUGGUUAACCUGCCGAGAUGUGGGGGAUACCCCGGGGAAACUCGGGACAAUACCGCAUAUGGUCUUCUGGGCGUCGGCCCGGAAGAGCAAAGCCGGGGAUCGCAAGACCUGGCGCAUUUCGAGGGGACCGCGGCCGAUUAGCUAGUUGGCGGAGUAACAGCCCACCAAGGCGACGAUCGGU